UACAGAGGGGGCAAGCGUUGUUCGGAAUUACUGGGCGUAAAGGGCGCGUAGGCGGCCUGCUAAGUCGAACGUGAAAUCCCCGGGCUCAACCCGGGAACUGCGUCCGAUACUGGUAGGCUUGAAUUCGGGAGAGGGAUGCGGAAUUCCAGGUGUAGCGGUGAAAUGCGUAGAUAUCUGGAGGAACACCGGUGGCGAAGGCGGCAUCCUGGACCGACAUUGACGCUGAGGCGCGAAAGCGUGGGGAGCAAACAGG
RNAcentral lists this ribosomal RNA (253 nucleotides) under uncultured bacterium. RNAcentral's name for it is "partial 16S ribosomal RNA". It matches the Rfam family "Bacterial small subunit ribosomal RNA", at positions 524 to 776 of the family's 1533-position model. The record is from RNAcentral.